This 406-nucleotide ribosomal RNA is filed under the name uncultured bacterium. Its description in RNAcentral is "bacterial SSU rRNA". It matches the Rfam family "Bacterial small subunit ribosomal RNA", at positions 107 to 518 of the family's 1533-position model. The record is from RNAcentral.
UGAGUAACGCGUGAGCAACCUGUCCUACAGGGGAUAACACAGCGAAAGUUGUACUAAUACCGCAUAAGACCACGGGAGGACAGUCCUUCAGGGGUCAAAGGAGGAAUCCGGUAAGGGGUGGGCUCGCGUCCGGAUUACGAUAGUUGGUGAGGUAACGGCCCGACCAAGUCGACGAUCGGUAGCCGACCUGAGAGGGUGAUCGGCCACAUUGGGACUGAGACACGGCCCAAACUCCUACGGGAGGCAGCAGUGGGGAAUAUUGGGCAAUGGGGGGAAAAAACCCCUGACCCAGCAACGCCGCGUGAGGGAAGAAGGUUUUCGGAUUCGUUAAACCUCUGUCCUUGGUGAAGAGUUGAGAGACGGUAGCCAAGGAGGAAGCCCCGGCUAACUACGUGCCAGCCGCAGC